Ornithodoros turicata is the source of this 201-nucleotide long non-coding RNA. RefSeq lists it as uncharacterized. Lineage: Eukaryota; Metazoa; Arthropoda; Arachnida; Ixodida; Argasidae. The record is from RefSeq and is a predicted model, not a curated record. The transcript is spliced from 2 exons.
CCGGCUUUGAGGAAAAGGGUGAAAACCGAGAGCCUCUCUCAUUGUACCAUGCCUAUUUUCUCUGUGUUGGAUGCCUCCAUCAAUGUAAGUAGCUGCUGAAGACGACGAAUGUGCCUGCCACCCACGCACCACCUGCUGCCUGGCACGCACCCUGAGGAUUCGAGCCGCCAUGAUGCAUAGUGAUUAAACAGUUGUUCCAUG